This is a long non-coding RNA of Uranotaenia lowii, 835 nucleotides long. RefSeq lists it as uncharacterized. The record is from RefSeq and is a predicted model, not a curated record. The transcript has 4 exons. Lineage: Eukaryota; Metazoa; Arthropoda; Insecta; Diptera; Culicidae.
GUUGAAAUAUGGGAAAAAAAGAAAAAAAAAAUCUAACAAAAAACGAAUAUCCAUGGCAAAAACUGUCAUUUAGGAGGCUAUCAUCAGCAGUAGAAACCGGCUGGAAUAAUUUGGAAGAACAUGGCAGAUUUUGAGGCCUUUCAUUGGUUCAGGAAACCAUCGACUGCUGCUGACUUCCGUUAUACACCCAGUGCCAUCCUUGGAAGCCGAUGGAGAUGAUCCGGGUUCGGUAAUCAUGCCAUUAUCAACAGCAACACCGUUUGGGAGGAUUUGGAAGAGGUACCGCUGCAACUGUUGCCUGAAGCUGGGAAAAAAGAUGACUCGAUUCUGCAGAUCGAUAUUGAUCCCGGUGUGACGGAAACUUUCUCAGCAGGAAAAAAAUGGAAGCAGAAUUCCAGGUUUGUCAUUGCCGCCAAAAACCUCAUCGGCAGAAAAAAAGGCGGAAGCAUAUCGUUGUUGGCCGAACCAGUUCCUGCUUCCGGCUAAAGGAGAUGCACUGGACAACACCAGCUCACAGACUAGCCAUUCUACGGCACCGAACGGUAUGUUGGCUGGGUAUAUGGUUAUUAUACGAAAUAAAUAUAUCCAUCGGCCAGCAGUUAUCAUGAUGCUACGACCCGAGAGCCAACGAAAGAUUCCGGUAGUACGUCCCGGACGCACUGUUGCCGUAGAUAUCUGAGGGCCGCAAUCUGGCUGAAAGAGGCAACAAAUCAAAGCUGUGGUCAUUACCGGCAUGUUGAUUUAAAAAAAAAUAUAUAAAUUAUAUUAGUAAAACCAGUUUGUAAAAUCCGAUAAUUCCAUCAAUAAACAUAAAUUUGAAAGCAAUUUAUUUUAA